ACAACGGGAAUGAUGUUCUCCCCUGGCUUUGCCUAAACUGCUUUUAUGCUGAUGACGUCUACACUU
Molecule: non-coding RNA, 66 nt
Filed under: uncultured Traorella sp.
Lineage: Bacteria; Bacillati; Bacillota; Erysipelotrichia; Erysipelotrichales; Erysipelotrichaceae
Description: Fluoride riboswitch
Rfam family: Fluoride riboswitch aptamer (crcB RNA motif)
Source: RNAcentral